This 433-nucleotide ribosomal RNA is filed under the name uncultured bacterium. Its description in RNAcentral is "partial 16S ribosomal RNA". It matches the Rfam family "Bacterial small subunit ribosomal RNA", at positions 29 to 507 of the family's 1533-position model. The record is from RNAcentral.
AACGAACGCUGGCGGCAUGCCUAACACAUGCAAGUCGAACGAGACCUUCGGGUCUAGUGGCGCACGGGUGCGUAACGCGUGGGAACCUGCCCUUAGGUUCGGAAUAACUCCCCGAAAGGGGUGCUAAUACCGGAUAAUGUCUUCGGACCAAAGAUUUAUCGCCUUUGGAUGGGCCCGCGUUGGAUUAGCUAGUUGGUAGGGUAAAAGCCUACCAAGGCGACGAUCCAUAGCUGGUCUGAGAGGAUGAUCAGCCACACUGGGACUGAGACACGGCCCAGACUCCUACGGGAGGCGGCAGUGGGGAAUAUUGGACAAUGGGCGAAAGCCUGAUCCAGCAAUGCCGCGUGAGUGAUGAAGGCCUUAGGGUUGUAAAGCUCUUUUACCCGGGAUGAUAAUGACAGUACCGGGAGAAUAAGCGCCGGCUAACUCCGUG